GAUGAAGAACGUAGCGAAAUGCGAUACGUAAUGUGAAUUGCAGAUUUCAGUGAAUCAUCGAAUCUUUGAACGCACAUUGCGCCCGCUAGUAUUCUGGCGGGCAUGCCUGUUCGAGCGUCAUUUCAACCAUCAAGCCCUAGGCUUGCGUUGGAGCCCUGCGGCUGCCGCAGGCUCCCAAAUCCAGUGGCGGGCUCGUCGUCGUACCGAGUGCAGUAAACAUCCUCGCUCAGGGAACGUGACGGGUUCUUGCCGUGAAACCCCCCUCAUAUCAAGGUUGACCUCGGAUCAGGUAGGAAUACCCGCUGAACUUAAGCAUAUCAAUAAGCGGAGGA
This 332-nucleotide unclassified non-coding RNA is filed under the name soil metagenome. RNAcentral's name for it is "partial contains 5.8S ribosomal RNA, internal transcribed spacer 2, and large subunit ribosomal RNA". The stretch from base 1 to 120 matches the Rfam family "5.8S ribosomal RNA", at positions 35 to 154 of the family's 154-position model. The record is from RNAcentral.